CCUACGGGUGGCAGCAGUCGAGAAUCAUUCACAAUGGGGGAAACCCUGAUGGUGCGACGCCGCGUGGGGGAAUGAAGGUCUUCGGAUUGUAAACCCCUGUCAUGUGGGAGCAAAUUAAAAAGAUAGUACCACAUGAGGAAGAGCCGGCUAACUCUGUGCCAGCAGCCGCGGUAAUACAGCGGUCUCAAGCGUUGUUCGGAAUCACUGGGCGUAAAGCGUGCGUAGGCUGUUUCGUAAGUCGUGUGUGAAAGGCUCGGGAUCAACCCGCGAACGGCACAUGAUACUGCGAGACUAGAGUAAUGGAGGGGGAACCGGAAUUCUCGGUGUAGCAGUGAAAUGCGUAGAUAUCGAGAGGAACACUCGGGGCGAAGGCGGGUUCCUGGACAUUAACUGACGCUGAGGCACGAAGGCCAGGGGAGCGAAAGGGAUUAGAUACCCGAGUAGUC
RNAcentral lists this ribosomal RNA (446 nucleotides) under uncultured bacterium. RNAcentral describes it as "partial 16S ribosomal RNA". It matches the Rfam family "Bacterial small subunit ribosomal RNA", at positions 338 to 795 of the family's 1533-position model. The record is from RNAcentral.